Molecule: unclassified non-coding RNA, 1744 nt
Filed under: Leishmania donovani
Lineage: Eukaryota; Euglenozoa; Kinetoplastea; Trypanosomatida; Trypanosomatidae
Description: gene:LdHU3.25.0160(CDS-product:hypothetical_prote in_conserved)
Source: RNAcentral
AGGCUGACCCACUAGCGCGCUACGCGGCGUCCGGUUACUGCUCGUCGCGUGCGUAUAUGCGCACUCUGCUGAAGGUGACAGGGCGUGGAAUAGAAAGGCCAAACACUCUCAGAGCGGAGUCGCGGAGAGGUUCAGCCGCUACCCACUCCUUCGACCUGCUUACCCUUCCGUCAAACAAAACACCGGUUCUGUCGGAAGGGACAUGCGACGCACUUCUUAUGUGGCGAAGAUCUCGUCAGUGCCCGUAGGGGAUGUCGCCUUGGCGUCCUUGAAAGCGUAUCAUCCGCGGUACGCGCUGCCUCGGCAAAUGACUCUGAGCUCCUCGUUCAACACUGUGACGGACAAGAACCGCUUCACCUCAUUGGACCUCUUGCUGCAGAAGCUUAGCGGCUACGUCGGGCGGCGCCAGUACAAGAUGGCGUCCGAUUUAACACAGCAUUUGGAGAAGUUCAAGGAGCUCGGAAUCGACUGGCACGAGCUCAAGUUUCUUCAGCGCGACGAGCUCGUCGAGCUGCUUAGUGGUCCCAUACGGCUGAACCACGCGGAGCGCGCGGUGCUGCUCAUCGCAUUGGAUGCAAAGGUGUGCGGUGUGCUCUGCCGAGAUACAACGCGACACUCCACGAAGCUGUGCAUGAACGCCGGCCUGGCAGAGCACGGGUGGCGCUGUGGGCAGGACGGGCACACAAACGACGUGUACUUUGAAGGCAAGGAGCAGGCGAACCCGGCGGUGCUGCGAUUGGCGCACCGCUCUGCUACUCGUGUGGCGCGCCGUGAUGGCAUCGACGUGGAGGUGCGUCAUGAGCCGGACUUCUCCAUAGUGGGUCGUAACUCGGCUCAGCUGAACCCGCGCAUCUGGAAUGCGCCAGAGCAUAGCACAUUUGUCGUGACACCGAUUGGGUUCGAGUUCCGCGUCCACCCCGACGACCCGCGCGCCCUGCACCAGAUCGAGGAGGCUGCCGCCGAGUGGGAGCUGCACCUCGAAGUUUUGCGGCAAGUCAUCGCGGAGGUACUGGAGCUGUACGCCGUGGAGCGGGAGGAGCAGCCGCUACAUCUGGUGCCAGGCGAAAUGGGUGAGCCGGAUGUGCCGGAGGUGUACAGUAGCGCGUUUCACGCGCGACGAUCGUCCUCAUCGCAAACCAAGGCAGACGGCACAAUCACAGAACACCGCAUGAUGAGCGCGAGUGGGGCGGAGAAGCCGUGGUUUCAGCCACCUCUGCCGCAGCGAUUCACGCGUGGGGUGCCGGAGCUGCUUCCUUUGGCGCCAACGAUCAUCUUGCACAGUGCCUUUCGGAGUAUCGAGCGCGACAUCAGCUCUACCGAUGUGAAUCGCCGACUCAUGCAGCCGGUCGUCGAUGUUUCGUGCCUCGUGCACCCGAACGCGUGCUUCUGGUGGAAUGCGGAGGAGGAGGAACGUUCGACAAGACUGAUUCUCGACUACGCCAAGCGCAUGCCAUUCGCACUGCCGUUCAACUUGUAUUUCCGCGUCGACUCUGCCAAGGUGCUUCGUGCGAAGCCGGCCGUGGCUGAGGAGAGGGACAGCUUACUACGUGCAAAGUUACCGCUCUUCGACUUGCGCCGGUUUCGCUCCGUGGCGCGGACAGCAGCCGCCGAUUCGGUUGAUCCGUGACGCGGCACCGAACGCGAGAGUGUGUGCUUCUCUGCACGUGUGCCCUCGUUAUGAGGCUGUGCACAUCGACUCAGGCCGAAUAACGGUGGCGCGAGCCGGUGGACACGGACAGAUUUG